CAGCAGCCGCGGUAAUACGAAGGGGGCUAGCGUUGCUCGGAAUUACUGGGCGUAAAGGGAGCGUAGGCGGAUAUUUAAGUCGGGGGUGAAAGCCCAGGGCUCAACCCUGGAAUUGCCUUCGAUACUGGAUAUCUAGAGUAUGGGAGAGGUGUGUGGAACUCCGAGUGUAGAGGUGAAAUUCGUAGAUAUUCGGAAGAACACCAGUGGCGAAGGCGACACACUGGCCCAUUACUGACGCUGAGGCUCGAAAGCGUGGGGAGCAAACAGGAUUAGAUACCCUGGUAGUCCACGCUGUAAACGAUGAGUGCUAGUUGUCGGCAUGCAUGCAUGUCGGUGACGCAGCUAACGCAUUAAGCACUCCGCCUGGGGAGUACGGUCGCAAGAUUAAAACUCAAAGGAAUUGACGG
This 407-nucleotide ribosomal RNA is filed under the name uncultured Alphaproteobacteria bacterium. RNAcentral describes it as "bacterial SSU rRNA". It matches the Rfam family "Bacterial small subunit ribosomal RNA", at positions 509 to 916 of the family's 1533-position model. The record is from RNAcentral. Lineage: Bacteria; Pseudomonadati; Pseudomonadota; Alphaproteobacteria.